Molecule: long non-coding RNA, 302 nt
Organism: Mytilus californianus (California mussel)
Lineage: Eukaryota; Metazoa; Mollusca; Bivalvia; Mytilida; Mytilidae
Exons: 2
Source: RefSeq, a predicted model, not a curated record
UUUUCCUUUAUUGGGUAACACAUUUUUCAGAUGUUUUCAAAACCGGAAGAUGGAUUGAUAUUAGUUCUUUUCGUCAGUCACAAUCUCCAUCCAUGCAGCUCCUUGUAGACCAGAUACCUUCCUUUUGUUUGUCAUCUAGAGCACCCAACACUCAACGACAGUAUAGAUAUGUUUUCAACGCUUUUUGCUGUCGUGUACUACGCAGCGGUGUUGCCGAUAUCAUGACAUCGGGACUCAAUAUUUUGUUUUAAUAAAAUUUAACAGUAAGCUGCACAUGCUGGCGAGCUAUUCCUAUGUAACAA